Molecule: ribosomal RNA, 497 nt
Filed under: uncultured bacterium
Lineage: Bacteria
Description: partial 16S ribosomal RNA
Rfam family: Bacterial small subunit ribosomal RNA
Source: RNAcentral
GAUGAACGCUGGCGGCGUGCCUAAUACAUGCAAGUCGAGCGAACAGACGAGGAGCUUGCUUCUCUGACGUUAGCGGCGGACGGGUGAGUAACACGUGGAUAACCUACCUAUAAGACUGGGAUAACUUCGGGAAACCGGAGCUAAUACCGGAUAAUAUAUUGAACCGCAUGGUUCAAUAGUGAAAGACGGUUUUGCUGUCACUUAUAGAUGGAUCCGCGCCGCAUUAGCUAGUUGGUAAGGUAACGGCUUACCAAGGCAACGAUGCGUAGCCGACCUGAGAGGGUGAUCGGCCACACUGGAACUGAGACACGGUCCAGACUCCUACGGGAGGCAGCAGUAGGGAAUCUUCCGCAAUGGGCGAAAGCUUGACGGAGCAACGCCGCGUGAGUGAUGAAGGUCUUCGGAUCGUAAAACUCUGUUAUUAGGGAAGAACAAAUGUGUAAGUAACUAUGCACGUCUUGACGGUACCUAAUCAGAAAGCCACGGCUAACUACGUG